CACGAACCGCACGAACGUUAUUCGGAAUUACUGGGCUUAAAGGGUUUGUAGGCGGCCAUGUAAGUCAGGUGUGAAAUCCCUCGGCUCAACCGAGGAACGGCGCUUGAUACUGCAUGGCUUGAGGGAGACAGGGGUAAGCGGAACUGAUGGUGGAGCGGUGAAAUGCGUUGAUAUCAUCAGGAACACCGGUGGCGAAAGCGGCUUACUGGGUCUCUUCUGACGCUGAGGAACGAAAGCUAGGGUAGCGAACGGG
Molecule: ribosomal RNA, 253 nt
Filed under: uncultured bacterium
Lineage: Bacteria
Description: partial 16S ribosomal RNA
Rfam family: Bacterial small subunit ribosomal RNA
Source: RNAcentral